UAGGGAAUCUUCGGCAAUGGACGAAAGUCUGACCGAGCAACGCCGCGUGAGUGAAGAAGGUUUUCGGAUCGUAAAACUCUGUUGUUAGAGAAGAACAAGGACGUUAGUAACUGAACGUACCCUGACGGUAUCUAACCAGAAAGCCACGGCUAACUACGUGCCAGCAGCCGCGGUAAUACGUAGGUGGCAAGCGUUGUCCGGAUUUAUUGGGCGUAAAGCGAGCGCAGGCGGUUUCUUAAGUCUGAUGUGAAAGCCCCCGGCUCAACCGGGGAGGGUCAUUGGAAACUGGGAGACUUGAGGGCAGAAGAGGAGAGUGGAAUUCCAUGUGUAGCGGUGAAAUGCGUAGAUAUAUGGAGGAACACCAGUGGCGAAGGCGGCUCUCUGGACUGUAACUGACGCUGAGGCUCGAAAGCGUGGGGAGCAAACAGG
This 429-nucleotide ribosomal RNA is filed under the name Gemmatimonadota bacterium. RNAcentral's name for it is "Gemmatimonadetes bacterium partial 16S ribosomal RNA". It matches the Rfam family "Bacterial small subunit ribosomal RNA", at positions 355 to 776 of the family's 1533-position model. The record is from RNAcentral. Lineage: Bacteria; Pseudomonadati; Gemmatimonadota.